Molecule: ribosomal RNA, 253 nt
Filed under: uncultured Rikenellaceae bacterium
Lineage: Bacteria; Pseudomonadati; Bacteroidota; Bacteroidia; Bacteroidales; Rikenellaceae
Description: partial 16S ribosomal RNA
Rfam family: Bacterial small subunit ribosomal RNA
Source: RNAcentral
UACGGAGGAUGCGAGCGUUAUCCGGAUUUAUUGGGUUUAAAGGGUGCGCAGGCGGUCGGAUAAGUUAGAGGUGAAAUCCCGAGGCUCAACUUCGGAAUUGCCUCUGAUACUGUUCGGCUAGAGAGUAGUUGCGGUAGGCGGAAUGUAUGGUGUAGCGGUGAAAUGCUUAGAGAUCAUACAGAACACCGAUUGCGAAGGCAGCAUACCGGCGCUCAACUGACGCUGAGGCACGAAAGCGUGGGGAGCAAACAGG